Molecule: unclassified non-coding RNA, 253 nt
Filed under: uncultured Bacteroidota bacterium
Lineage: Bacteria; Pseudomonadati; Bacteroidota
Description: uncultured Bacteroidetes bacterium contains 16S-23S intergenic spacer region
Rfam family: Bacterial small subunit ribosomal RNA
Source: RNAcentral
UACGGAGGGUGCAAGCGUUGUCCGGAAUUAUUGGGUGUAAAGGGUGCGUAGGCGGAAAUUUAAGUUUGGGGUGAAAUCCUGCGGCUCAACCGCAGAAUGGCCUUGGAUACUGGAUUUCUUGAGUGUAACAGAGGCAGGUAGAAUUCGUGGUGUAGCGGUGAAAUGCAUAGAUAUCACGAAGAAUACCAGUGGCGAAGGCGGCCUGCUGGGUUACAACUGACGCUGAGGCACGAGAGCGUGGGGAGCGAACAGG